UACGGGAGGCAGCAGGGGGAAUAUUGCACAAUGGGCGAAAGCCUGAUGCAGCUAUGCCGCGUGUAUGAAGAAGGCCUUAGGGUUGUAAAGUACUUUCAUCGGGGAGGAAAAAACAAAACUAAUAAUUUUAUUUCUUGACGUUACCCGAAAAAGAAGCACCGGCUAACUCCGUGCCAGCAGCCGCGGUAAUACGGAGGGUGCUAGCGUUAAUCAGAAUUACUGGGCGUAAAGAGCACGUAGGUGGUUUUUUUAAAGUCAGAUGUGAAAUCCCUGGGCUUAACCUAGGAACUGCAUUUUGAAACUGAAAUACUAGAGUAUCGUAGAGGGAGGUAGAAUUCUAGGUGUAGCGGUGAAAUGCGUAGAUAUCUGGAGGAAUACCUGUGGCGAAAGCGGCCUCCUAAACGAAUACUGACACUGAGGGUGCGAAAGCGUGGGGAGCAAACAGGGAUUAGAUA
Molecule: ribosomal RNA, 455 nt
Filed under: uncultured bacterium
Lineage: Bacteria
Description: bacterial SSU rRNA
Rfam family: Bacterial small subunit ribosomal RNA
Source: RNAcentral